GAAGAAGAUACUAAGGGCGCACGGCGGAUGCCUUGGCACAGGAAGUCGAAGAAGGACGCGGCAAGCUGCGAUAAGCUCCGGGGAGGCGCAAACGGCCUUCGAUCCGGAGAUCUCCGAAUGGGGGAACCCAGCAGGGGUCAUGCCCUGCUACCCGCGCCUGAAUGAAAUAGGGCGCGAGGAGGCAACCCGGGGAACUGAAACAUCUAAGUACCCGGAGGAAGAGAAAUCAACCGAGAUUGCGGGAGUAGCGGCGAGCGAAACCGCACCAGCCCAAACCCAUGCACGUGCAAGCUUGAGGGCGUUGCUGCAUGAGGGGUUGUGGGACCGCGCAUUCCAUGGGCCUCAGACCAUGGACGCAGUUACAAAUCCGCGCGGAAGCGGAACGGCCUGGGAAGGCCGGCGGAACAGGGUGAGAGCCCCGUACGCGAAUCCGCGCGGACUGCGAGUGCGGCGCCCGAGUAGCGCCGGGCACGUGAAACCCGGUGCGAACCUGGGGGGACCACCCUCCAAGGCUGAACACUCUCCUGUGACCGAUAGCGAACCAGUACCGUGAGGGAAAGGUGAAAAGCACCCCGAGAGGGGAGUGAAACAGUACCUGAAACCGUGCGCCUACAAGCAGUCGGAGCCCCCGAGCGGGGUGACGGCGUGCCUUUUGUAGAAUGAGCCAGCGAGUUGCGGUAUGCGGCGAGGUUAAGGUUUGAACCGAGCCGCAGUGAAAGCGAGCCUUUAAGAUGGCGUAUGAGUCGCAUGCUGCAGACGCGAAGCCGGGUGAGCUAUCCAUGGGCAGGCUGAAGCGGGGGUAAGACCCCGUGGAGGGCCGAACCCACUUCGGUUGAAAACGGAGGGGAUGACCCGUGGAUAGGGGUGAAAGGCCAAUCAAACCCGGAGAUAUCUCGUUCUCCCCGAAAUAGCUUUAGGGCUAGCCUCGGCCGUUCUCCGACGGCGGUAGAGCACUGGAUCGUCGAGGGGGCUUCACCGCCUACCGACACGAACCAAACUCCGAAUGCCGCCGGAUCAGAGGCCGGGAGUCAGAACAUGUGGGCUAAGCUGUGUGUUCGAGAGGGAAACAGCCCAGACCGCCCGCUAAGGUCCCCAAGUUUAUGCUGAGUGGCAAAGGAUGUGCGUUUGCCUAGACAACCAGGAUGUUGGCUUAGAAGCAGCCAUGCAUUUAAAGAGUGCGUAACAGCUCACUGGUCAAGUGGACAUGCGCCGACAAUUCACGGGGCUAAGCAUAACACCGAAGCGGCGGACUAAUCUAUAUUAGUGGUAGGGGAGCUUUCCCCGCAGCGGAGAAGCCGAGAGGGCGACCCUCGGUGGAGCGCGGGGAAGUGAGAAUGCUGGCAUGAGUAACGAGAGCGGCGCGAGAAACGCCGCCGCCGUAAGCCUAAGGGUUCCUGGGCAAGGCUAAUCCUCCCAGGGUCAGUCGGGAGCUAAGGCGAGGCCGAGAGGCGUAGCCGAUGCGCAACAGGCGGACAUUCCUGUACCGCCUGCGGACCGCUAUCACCGACGGGGUGACGGAGAAGGGUAGCCGAGCGGGGUUCUGGACGUCCCCGUGAAAGCGCGUAGGG
RNAcentral lists this ribosomal RNA (1568 nucleotides) under Clostridium botulinum. RNAcentral's name for it is "partial 23S ribosomal RNA". It matches the Rfam family "Bacterial large subunit ribosomal RNA", at positions 1 to 1525 of the family's 2925-position model. Lineage: Bacteria; Bacillati; Bacillota; Clostridia; Eubacteriales; Clostridiaceae. The record is from RNAcentral.